Molecule: long non-coding RNA, 1682 nt
Filed under: Mytilus galloprovincialis (Mediterranean mussel)
Lineage: Eukaryota; Metazoa; Mollusca; Bivalvia; Mytilida; Mytilidae
Source: RNAcentral
GUAACUGUUCCCUUUUGGAAAAACAAGCAAUACAGCUAUCUUUCCUUUCCUAAUUUCACAGAUGCAACAACACAUGCUACUUGAAUAGGUUGCCUCCAUUAUAUAUAUAAAUAUAUGUUAACCAACAAAUGACGUUUUGAUAAAACAUGAAAUCCUUUUUAGUUGAAACUUUAUCAACAAGCUGAUUCAUAACUGUAAGAAAAUAUUGUUAGAAGAACUUUACGUGAUAUCCCUCUUCACUGUAUUCAUCCUGUGUAAAGGUAAGUAAAUAUUCUAAAGUAGAAGGCUACGCAAUAUUAUGUAACUUCAUUUUUCAUUCUUAUCAUAUUAUGAACAAAUAACACUAAUUUGAAAAUGUACAACUUUUCAAUCUUCAAAAAACUUGUAAUACCAAAGUAUAGUUAUCAUAACAUUUCAUACCGAGUGUCAUUAUUAAUUCAAAUAUAAAGAUAAACAUUCAUGCAUGGUGAGUUUACUACCAACCACUGGGUCGAUGCCACGGCUAUUGAAGGAAUCUCCCCGCGGUAUCAACACCUAGUAGUCAGCACGUUCUGUGUUAAUAUAUGGUCUUUAUUGUAAAUGAACUUUUCAGAAAAAAAUGAAUAUUCGAAAUAGUAUAGUAUACUUGAGCUAUAUUUUGACAAAACCUUUCAGAUUUUUGGAUGCUCAAUGCUCUUCACCUUUACUUUGAGUGUCACUGAUGAGUCAUUUUUAGAUGAAACGCGCUACUGGCAUACACAAUUUAAUCAUUGUAUAUAUGAUGAAUUAAAUAACAUAAAAUCGUUGUACCAAAGUGACAUUAAAUCUGUGGGACCAAUUCUAGUCGGAUCCUUUUAUACCUGCAUAUACUACUUGAGCAAUCGUGGUAUUAUCUAGUACUUUAUUAUUACUUUACAUGAAACAGGAUCUCCUCACCCAUCAAUAGCUGCUUGCUUCACCCUAGUUUUUGGUGGGGUUCGUGUUACUAAGUCAUUUGUUUUUUAUGUUGUGUUUUGAGAACUAUUGUUUGUAUUUUUCUAUUAUAUACGUUGUCAGUUUGUUUUAUUCUUAUGAGCUUGAAUGUCCCUUUUGUAUCUUGUCCUUUCUUAUAUUCUCAUUAUUUUAUUUGUACCAUAUUUGAAGAUUUACUAUAAUGAUUACAUAUAUUAAUAUUUUUCAGGAGUAUCCUGUUGACUGCUGAACAAAGAACCUGUCUCAUGUCUAGAAAAAAUUGAAAACAAUCAUCUCCAAGAUAAUGCACAUUUUAUUCAGACAAACCAUAGGCUGUCUUGGUUCAUAGAUAAUGUGGUUGUCACAUCAGUUGUAAAAUGACAAUUUUUAAAAGAAAUUGUGAAUUUUUAUAGAUAAAUAGCAUAAAGUGAAAUGUAAAAUAGAGACGGAGGUAGCAUUAGAUACUUAAUAUAGUCUUGAAUGUUGGAAUCGCAUCCACCAAAAAACUUUUUUAAUUCUAGUAUUAUGAAAUGAUUUCAUGUUGUCAUUAGAGUAGUUUCAUACAGGUGAUAGUUAUAACAUAUAGAGAAGGGAGGGAUAGUACAUAAUUUCAGUAAAAGUGUCAAAUCUCGGAAGUUGAAAAUAUACCUCAUGUCCCUAUGUUUUGACCUUUGAAAAAAUAGCAGUGCGUAUGAAUUUUUCAUCCUAGGAAAAACAUUUCUUUUACAAAACCGUUCAUAAUAAAAGUGGCC